RNAcentral lists this ribosomal RNA (598 nucleotides) under Bacillus altitudinis. RNAcentral's name for it is "bacterial SSU rRNA". It matches the Rfam family "Bacterial small subunit ribosomal RNA", at positions 406 to 995 of the family's 1533-position model. Lineage: Bacteria; Bacillati; Bacillota; Bacilli; Caryophanales; Bacillaceae. The record is from RNAcentral.
UGAUGAAGGUUUUCGGAUCGUAAAGCUCUGUUGUUAGGGAAGAACAAGUGCAAGAGUAACUGCUUGCACCUUGACGGUACCUAACCAGAAAGCCACGGCUAACUACGUGCCAGCAGCCGCGGUAAUACGUAGGUGGCAAGCGUUGUCCGGAAUUAUUGGGCGUAAAGGGCUCGCAGGCGGUUUCUUAAGUCUGAUGUGAAAGCCCCCGGCUCAACCGGGGAGGGUCAUUGGAAACUGGGAAACUUGAGUGCAGAAGAGGAGAGUGGAAUUCCACGUGUAGCGGUGAAAUGCGUAGAGAUGUGGAGGAACACCAGUGGCGAAGGCGACUCUCUGGUCUGUAACUGACGCUGAGGAGCGAAAGCGUGGGGAGCGAACAGGAUUAGAUACCCUGGUAGUCCACGCCGUAAACGAUGAGUGCUAAGUGUUAGGGGGUUUCCGCCCCUUAGUGCUGCAGCUAACGCAUUAAGCACUCCGCCUGGGGAGUACGGUCGCAAGACUGAAACUCAAAGGAAUUGACGGGGGCCCGCACAAGCGGUGGAGCAUGUGGUUUAAUUCGAAGCAACGCGAAGAACCUUACCAGGUCUUGACAUCCUCUGAC